This 332-nucleotide unclassified non-coding RNA is filed under the name soil metagenome. Its description in RNAcentral is "partial contains 5.8S ribosomal RNA, internal transcribed spacer 2, and large subunit ribosomal RNA". The stretch from base 1 to 120 matches the Rfam family "5.8S ribosomal RNA", at positions 35 to 154 of the family's 154-position model. The record is from RNAcentral.
GAUGAAGAACGUAGCGAAAUGCGAUAAGUAAUGUGAAUUGCAGAAUUCAGUGAAUCAUCGAAUCUUUGAACGCACAUUGUGCCCGCUAGUAUUCUGGCGGGCAUGUCUGUUCGAGCGUCAUUUCAACCAUCAAGCCCUGUUUAGGCUUGUGUUGGGGCCCUGCGGUUGCCGCAGCCCCUUAAAUGCAGUGGCGGGCUCGUUGUCACUCCGAGCGCAGUAGCGUAUCUCGCUCUGGGCGUGGCGGCGGGUGCUAGCCGUGAAACACCCACUAAGGUUGACCUCGGAUCAGGUAGGAAUACCCGCUGAACUUAAGCAUAUCAAUAAGCGGAGGA